Carcharodon carcharias (great white shark) is the source of this 1509-nucleotide long non-coding RNA. RefSeq lists it as uncharacterized. The transcript has 3 exons. The record is from RefSeq and is a predicted model, not a curated record. NCBI's taxonomy places the organism in Eukaryota, Metazoa, Chordata, Chondrichthyes, Lamniformes, Lamnidae.
UUUGAUGGAAUGAUUUUGAAAGGGAUCUAGUGUUCUCACUUAGUGCCCCAUCUUCCAUCCAGACCUCCCUUACAUCUGCCAGUCACCCUUGUGGUAGUGGUAUUUAGAACAACCACCCUACUGCAUGUAAAGGAACACAUUGAACUUCCAAGAAAGCACAUCGAAGAUAAAGUAUAAGAUCCAAAUUUGUUCCUCUCAAGAGUCAACCACAUUGCUGCGGGUCUGGAUUCAUAUGUAGGUUGACCAGAUGUAAAUUUAACAAUGAAGGUACCACUGCCGACUAAUUCUUCAGUGAACAGGAUGACUAAUGCUGGGCAGAAUUUUCAACGAUUAGUCCUAGCCGAAGAUGCAAGACCUGUGUUGGGCUAGGAAGCUGAAUGGUGAAGGAGCGGACUUUGUCGUAGUCCUUUAACAAAGCCAUGGCAGUAGCAUUCUGCCUCUGGCUCCCCCAACUAAUCAGAGCGGGCAGGCAGUAUGGCACACUGAAUCUGUCAAAGAAAAAAUUUCUAAUUAAAGGGACCUGGCAUGAGUUCCAAUGACUCAACUGGACAUAGAUUCCUGAGUCUGCAACAACCUGGGAAAGCUGAGUCCCGGGUCUCUCUCUUCCCCGGAGAUCUAGCUGCAGGAUCUGUGAGACAGAAGUGAGCUGAUCUUCCCUAAGGACAGGAGGAAGGAGUGGAUGGAAGGGGCUGAGGUAGUCGGCAGCAGAAGUACAAUUCCUCUAGCCUGGAAACAGUGCACCAAGAGGAUUCGGGACCUCACGUGGGUGAGAGAAGUGAGUGACUUUCAGGUGCCAAGCUCAAAACUCUGACUUUCCCAACAUUCUCUUACACAGCUCAAAACAACACUCCAUCAGCACCAUUCAUUUCUCUUUCUCCAGGCACCUCAUAUCCCUAUCCAAACAGCCAAUGCUAACAAGCACUCUCAUCCGAUUAGCCUCUCUUACCCAUGGCUAAUAGUCACCCACAGCAAAUGUUGUCCUCCCCUCCUCCAUACAAGCCAUUUUGAACACUGAACUCUCUGCUUUCACCCCUUACAGGGGAAGCAAGCACACAACAGACCCAGGGUGGUUGGAGAGUGAGGGGAGUGGUUGGGUUUGGCCCUCCAGGUGACAGGCAUCUCAAAGGCUACUGGGGAUCUCACCUCCUUCAAGGUACAUUUCUCUCUGUCCUUUGGAGCAGUUUGUGACUGAGAAGCAGGCAGUUGGUGCUGCUUCUGAUGCUGGGUUCAGUUUUACUCCUCUUGCUUUUUGUCAGAGGUACAAGGUAGAGGUGUAUAAGCUGCACCCAUUCUAUAAUGAAAGCUGGCAGCAGAGAAGUGAAGCUGAAGCUGAAUGAAGUGCAAGACAAGUGAACUGACCUGCAUGAAGUUGGCAAUCAUUUGUCAAGACUGAAAGCACUCUCUGAGUAGGAAUGCGAUGAGCAGCAGCCUCUCCUCUGGCCAUGGCUGCAGCUCUUUAGUUCCAUCCAUCAAAGACUUUCCAGCCUUUCAGUUUCAUUAAGGAAGCAC